This 76-nucleotide transfer RNA is filed under the name Azospirillum oryzae. RNAcentral describes it as "tRNA_Pseudo_TGG". It matches the Rfam family "tRNA". From Rfam's summary of the family: Transfer RNA (tRNA) molecules are approximately 80 nucleotides in length. Their secondary structure includes four short double-helical elements and three loops (D, anti-codon, and T loops). Lineage: Bacteria; Pseudomonadati; Pseudomonadota; Alphaproteobacteria; Rhodospirillales; Azospirillaceae. The record is from RNAcentral.
UGGAGCGUAGCGCAGUCUAGCAGCGCAUAUGCUUUGGAAGCAGAGGAUCGCGGUUCGAAUCCUGCCGGAUCUACCA